AAUGCUUAUAGGUGGAGCUGCCAGGGAGGCUGCAGUCUUAGGAUAUCAUAUUACUCCCUUGUUUUCGUAAUAUGGGUAUCAUGGACCUGUUUUCAGAGUCUUACUCAGAUUAAAUCGUGGCAAGAUUCAUGAUAGUAGUCUGGCAAUACAGAAAUCCAGUCAUCAAGCUUGGAAGGGCCUUUCUUGGGGUAUGUCUGUGUCAAGUUUGACUCCAUAUUGCGAAGUUAAAGGUGUUGUGCUUUGCAUCACUUGUGCUGGUUCUGGCCUAUACGUUGACUCC
This is a long non-coding RNA of Arachis duranensis, 280 nucleotides long. RefSeq lists it as uncharacterized. The transcript has 3 exons. NCBI's taxonomy places the organism in Eukaryota, Viridiplantae, Streptophyta, Magnoliopsida, Fabales, Fabaceae. The record is from RefSeq and is a predicted model, not a curated record.